RNAcentral lists this ribosomal RNA (468 nucleotides) under uncultured bacterium. RNAcentral's name for it is "partial 16S ribosomal RNA". It matches the Rfam family "Bacterial small subunit ribosomal RNA", at positions 28 to 507 of the family's 1533-position model. The record is from RNAcentral.
GGCGAACGCUGGCGGCGUGCUUAACACAUGCAAGUCGAACGGAAAGGCCCUGCUCUUGUGGGGUGCUCGAGUGGCGAACGGGUGAGUAACACGUGAGUAACAUGCCCUUGACUUUGGGAUAACUUCAGGAAACUGGGGCUAAUACCGGAUAGGAGCUCCUGCUGCAUGGUGGGGGUUGGAAAGUUUCGGCGGUUGGGGAUGGACUCGCGGCUUAUCAGCUUGUUUGUGGGGUAGUGGCUUACCAAGGCUUUGACGGGUAGCCGGCCUGACAGGGGGACCGGCCACAGUGGGACUGAGAUACGGACCAGACUCCUACGGGAGGCAGCAGUGGGGAAUAUUGCAGAAUGGGCGGAAGCCUGAUGCAGCAACGCCGCGUGCGGGAUGACGGCCUUCGGGUUGUAAACCGCUUUCGCCUGUGACGAAGCGUGAGUGACGGUAAUGGGUAAAGAAGCACCGGCUAACUACGUG